GCGUAAGCGCACGCAGGCGGUCUGUCUAGUCGGAUGUGAAAUCCCCGGGCUCAACCUGGGAACUGCAUUCGAAACUGGCAGGCUAGAGUCUUGUAGAGGGGGGUAGAAUUCCAGGUGUAGCGGUGAAAUGCGUAGAGAUCUGGAGGAAUACCGGUGGCGAAGGCGGCCCCCUGGACAAAGACUGACGCUCAGGUGCGAAAGCGUGGGGAGCAAACAGGAUUAGAUACCCUGGUAGUCCACGCCGUAAACGAUGUCGACUUGGAGGUUGUGCCCUUGAGGCGUGGCUUCCGGAGCUAACGCGUUAAGUCGACCGCCUGGGGAGUACGGCCGCAAGGUUAAAACUCAAAUGAAUUGACGGGGGCCCGCACAAGCGGUGGAGCAUGUGGUUUAAUUCGAUGCAACGCGAAGAACCUUACCUACUCUUGACAUCCAGAGAACUUUCCAGAGAUGGAUUGGUGCCUUCGGGAACUCUGAGACAGGUGCUGCAUGGCUGUCGUCAGCUCGUGUUGUGAAAUGUUGGGUUAAGUCCCGCAACGAGCGCAACCCUUAUCCUUUGUUGCCAG
This 563-nucleotide ribosomal RNA is filed under the name Enterobacter asburiae. RNAcentral's name for it is "bacterial SSU rRNA". It matches the Rfam family "Bacterial small subunit ribosomal RNA", at positions 558 to 1121 of the family's 1533-position model. The record is from RNAcentral. Lineage: Bacteria; Pseudomonadati; Pseudomonadota; Gammaproteobacteria; Enterobacterales; Enterobacteriaceae.